UUUUCUCAAGGAAUAAGUACUGAAGGUACUUGAGGAAUCAGCAUCGGCUAACUCCGUGCCAGCAGCCGCGGUAAUACGGAGGAUGCAAGCGUUAUCCGGAAUGAUUGGGCGUAAAGGGUCCGCAGGUGGCAUUGAAAGUCUGCUGUCAAAGAGUGCAGCUCAAACUGCAUAAAGGCAGUGGAAACUACAAAGCUAGAGUACGUUAGGGGCAGAGGGAAUUCCUGGUGUAGCGGUGAAAUGCGUAGAGAUCAGGAAGAACACCGGUGGCGAAAGCGCUCUGCUAGGACUGUACUGACACUGAGGGACGAAAGCUAGGGGAGCGAAUGGGAUUAGAUACCCCAGUAGUCCUAGCCGUAAACGAUGGAUACUAGGCGUUGCGCGUAUCGACCCGCGCAGUGCCGGAGCUAACGCGUUAAGUAUCCCGCCUGGGGAGUACGCAGGCAACUGUGAAACUCAAAGGAAUUGACGGGGGCCCGCACAAGCGGUGGAGUAUGUGGUUUAAUUCGAUGCAACGCGAAGAACCUUACCAGGACUUGACAUGUCCGGAAUCUCAGGGAAACUUGAGAGUGCCUUCGGGAGCCGGAGCACAGGUGGUGCAUGGCUGUCGUCAGCUCGUGUCGUGAGAUGUUGGGUUAAGUCCCGCAACGAGCGCAACCCUCGUUCUUAGUUGCCAGCAUUUCGGAUGGGCGACUCUAAGGAGACUGCCGGUGACAAACCGGAGGAAGGUGGGGAUGACGUCAAGUCAGCAUGCCCCUUACGUCCUGGGCUACACACGUACUACAAUGCUGUGGACAAUGGGCAGCAAGCAGGCAACUGCAAGCAAAUCUCACAAACCAUGGCUCAGUUCAGAUCGAAGGCUGCAACUCGCCUUCGUGAAGGUGGAAUCGCUAGUAAUUGCAGGUCAGCAUACUGCAGUGAAUUCGUUCCCGGGCCUUGUACACACCGCCCGUCACACCAUGGAAGCUGGUAGUGCCCGAAG
This 979-nucleotide ribosomal RNA is filed under the name Iningainema tapete BLCC-T55. RNAcentral describes it as "bacterial SSU rRNA". It matches the Rfam family "Bacterial small subunit ribosomal RNA", at positions 434 to 1426 of the family's 1533-position model. Lineage: Bacteria; Bacillati; Cyanobacteriota; Cyanophyceae; Nostocales; Scytonemataceae. The record is from RNAcentral. RNAcentral also lists the same sequence under 1 other name.